AGUGAACGCUGGCGGUAGGCCUAACACAUGCAAGUCGAACGGCAGCACAGUAAGAGCUUGCUCUUACGGGUGGCGAGUGGCGGACGGGUGAGGAAUACAUCGGAAUCUACUUUUUCGUGGGGGAUAACGUAGGGAAACUUACGCUAAUACCGCAUACGACCUACGGUUGAAAGCAGGGGAUCUUCUGACCUUGCGCGAUUGAAUGAGCCGAUGUCGGGUUAGCUAGUUGGCGGGGUAAAGGCCCACCAAGUCGACGAUCCGUAGCUGGUCUGAGAGGAUGAUAAGCCACACUGGAACUGAGACACGGUCCAGACUCCUACGGGAGGCACCAGUGUGGAAUAUUGGACAAAGGGCGCAAGUCUGAUCCAGCCAUACCGAGUGGGUGAAGAAGGCCUUCGGGUUGUAAAGCCCUUUUGUUGGGAAAGAACAGCAGCAGGUUAAUACCCCGCUGUUCUGACGGUACCCAAAGAAUAAGCACCGGCUAACUUCGUG
This 492-nucleotide ribosomal RNA is filed under the name uncultured bacterium. RNAcentral's name for it is "partial 16S ribosomal RNA". It matches the Rfam family "Bacterial small subunit ribosomal RNA", at positions 29 to 507 of the family's 1533-position model. The record is from RNAcentral.